AUAGCCGGCGAUCAGGUCACCAACGACAUCGCGAUUUCCUGCGCACGCCUACGCACUAUGCCGAGGAAAUCAAGAUCAAGUAUGCCUGCGCGCUGUCGCAGCUUGCCAAUCGCGAUGAAACGAUCGAGGUGCCGAGCGUCGGCGACCGUCCGCCGCGCAGGCUCGCCGACAAACCUCGGCGAGGUGGUCGAGCCACGUUA
This 200-nucleotide ribosomal RNA is filed under the name uncultured eukaryote. Its description in RNAcentral is "partial 18S ribosomal RNA". The record is from RNAcentral.